ACCCGGAGCUUGGCCGCCUGUUGGGGACGGCGGCUGAGGCUGAGGCGUUGCCUGUUGCUCAGGCGCGAGUUCCUGUGCCACUGGCGCCGGCGCCGCAGCCGGUGCAGACGCAUCGGCCGGAGCGGCACAGGUGCGGAGAGCCUGACAAUGAAAAUGCCAAAAAUUAUUUGACGGAGAAACUGGAACUAGGGAUCUGGUGCUCCGAUGGCAAUUGCAAUUUUUAUUCGGCCCGCCAACAGCAGGGUAUCAAUUUGGCCCCAUGCAACUUAUGUGUGGCACAAGUUCCUGUGCAUUUAUCCAGCAGAAUUUCACCAGCAGCACACGAAUUGCAGCACAGAAGGCGCAGCAGAUGCUAGCAAACUACUUUAGCAGAGCCACAAAGGAACAUGCACUGAGGAGAUGAAGCAGAGUGAAGCCAGGGUAUGUCCGAGCGGUGAGGUUGUGGCUGUGGUUCUGUGUGCAGGCAUCACAUUCCGGCAGGGCAGGACCCGGCUAGGAGGAGGGCACACAGGUACAGGCGUUUGCUAACGGAGGGAUCACUAACAGGGCAGCCUGACAAUGUCGGCCAGAGCACAUUCCAAUGGUGGCCCAGAUGACAGUGACUGCAGGAGUCAGGAUGAACUCUUGAGGCAUACCUUGUUGGCCCUUAUUUGGACCCUGGAUUUGUUUAAAGCUCUUGCGAGCUUUGAUAUUGCUGCCGGCCUGGAGCGUGCUGCUGUCGGGCUUCUAGGACCCAGUUGCUAGCCUUGUAUGCCUGUUUGCAAUCAGGCAGAUAGUUUUAUCAUUGUGCGCGAGUGGUACCGUUCAGGAAUGCUUGAUAAGCUUGCCUUCAAGUGGGGGCAUGGAGUUGAAGGGACGUUGCUUAAUGUACACAAGAAUUGGUGCACAGCAUCAGGAUGUACCGCUGUAAAUCAC
RNAcentral lists this long non-coding RNA (915 nucleotides) under Coccomyxa subellipsoidea. RNAcentral's name for it is "long non-coding RNA (CSUB_LNC000554)". The record is from RNAcentral. Lineage: Eukaryota; Viridiplantae; Chlorophyta; Trebouxiophyceae; Coccomyxaceae.